Molecule: long non-coding RNA, 758 nt
Organism: Lathyrus oleraceus (garden pea)
Lineage: Eukaryota; Viridiplantae; Streptophyta; Magnoliopsida; Fabales; Fabaceae
Exons: 2
Source: RefSeq, a predicted model, not a curated record
UUCAUGUUGUCUUUACUCUUGUUUAUAUACAAUGAACAAUAAUUGAAUUAGCACAAAGAAUUUCAUUUUUGCUUUUGAAGAAAUGAAAGGAUUCCUUUCUCACUCUUUUCUUGCAGCACUGGUGGCAGCAUUCAUCACACCAAACCAUAACAAUUUUGCUGCUGCAGUGGAUUCCAAGGAUAUCAACAACAGUACUCAAGAUCACAGAUACAUAGGACUUCACUGCCGAUGAAAUCGACUUUUUCAUCGAUCAAAGACGAUCAAGCAGAAUGCUUGCGAGUAAUAAUUUUCAAAUAUCUCAACCAACUUCUAAUUCCGGUCAACAAUCACCUUUUUGUCAACCAAAUAAUCUGCAAGCUUCAAGUUCAUGUCUUAGCAGUCCUCAGUUGAUUAAACAAGGAAGGAACUGUGAUCAUAGAAACAGAAAUUAUCCUUACUGUACAUAAUGAUGACAUUUAUUGCACGACAUUCUAGGACAACAACUUGUACUCAGAGGGAAGAAGAAGAUUGGAAGAAGUUGGGAGAAAAGGAGAAGCAACAAUUGUAUUCCUAGGGCACACGUGAUAACAAUCUACGUUGGUAGGAGAGCUAAUUUGAAAGGAUAAAAACAAGGCGCUAGAAGACAUAAAUUCAGUAUGUAGUAGAACCACUAAGUGUGUCAUGCAACAAAAAGGAUAACGCCACUUUGUCUCCCAUUAUUGUUUGUACUUGAUUCCAAUGUUGUACCAAUGAGAAGAAAUGGAGGGAACUUUGCUUUU